AAUGACGUCAAGUCCUCAUGGCCUUUAUGACCAGGGCUACACACGUACUACAAUAGGCCGGGUACAAAGGGCAGCGACACAGCGAUGUGAAGCGAAUCCCGAAAAGCCGGUCUCAGUCCGGAUUGGAGUCUGCAACUCGACUCCAUGAAGUUGGAAUCGCUAGUAAUCGCGGAUCAGCACGCCGCGGUGAAUACGUUCCCGGGCCUU
Molecule: ribosomal RNA, 207 nt
Filed under: uncultured Desulfocapsa sp.
Lineage: Bacteria; Pseudomonadati; Thermodesulfobacteriota; Desulfobulbia; Desulfobulbales; Desulfocapsaceae
Description: partial 16S ribosomal RNA
Rfam family: Bacterial small subunit ribosomal RNA
Source: RNAcentral